AGCAGUCGCCACGGUAAUACGUAGGUGGCAAGCGUUGUCCGGAUUUAUUGGGCGUAAAGCGAGCGCAGGCGGUUUCUUAAGUCUGAUGUGAAAGCCCCCGGCUCAACCGGGGAGGGUCAUUGGAAACUGGGAGACUUGAGUGCAGAAGAGGAGAGUGGAAUUCCAUGUGUAGCGGUGAAAUGCGUAGAUAUAUGGAGGAACACCAGUGGCGAAGGCGGCUCUCUGGUCUGUAACUGACGCUGAGGCUCGAAAGCGUGGGGAGCGAACAGGAUUAGAUACCCCUGUAGUCCCUGUCUCUUAUAC
Molecule: ribosomal RNA, 303 nt
Filed under: uncultured bacterium
Lineage: Bacteria
Description: partial 16S ribosomal RNA
Rfam family: Bacterial small subunit ribosomal RNA
Source: RNAcentral